Molecule: long non-coding RNA, 2568 nt
Organism: Melospiza melodia melodia
Lineage: Eukaryota; Metazoa; Chordata; Aves; Passeriformes; Passerellidae
Exons: 3
Source: RefSeq, a predicted model, not a curated record
AGACCGAGCUGGAGCGUGGAUCGCCCCCACAUGGCUGAUGGUGGCUGAUCUGGCCGAGACAAAGCAGUCGACUGACCCCGGCUGCAGCGGCGGGAGCCGACAGAGUCAGGGCAGCCGGGGAUGGGACAGAUGGGACUCUCUUUCGGUGCGGUCAGCGCGGUAACCACGGUGCACACGGCAGGACAGACCCCCACCCCCUGCACGAACUGCGGAGCGGCCGCGGGCCGGGCGGCCGGGACUGAGGCAGACGGACUGUGCCGGAGCCGGCACAGGGGCUGGGAGGGCUGGUGCGAACGAGUGGGGGAACGAACGGGAAUGGAUGAGGAUUUGCCAUUGUCAAGACCUAGGAGGCUGCGAGGAAGAGGAAGAUGCCCCAGGACACUGAUGCAGCCAGAGCAGGAGCUGAGCAUGGAGAGCAGGGAGGACCGUGGCAGAACCUGGUGGAAGAGGCCGUUCUGAGCGGCUCCACGGCACAGGAAGCCAAGGGGGAGGAAAAGCCCCGGGGAUGCUGCACAAGGAGGGGCUGCAAACUCAGCUGGCAGGGAUCUGACGGGGAAAGAGCCAGCCUGGGCCGGGAAGGCGGCCGGAGAUGGAGCUAGAGCUCGGAGCUGGUGCUCCAUGAGCAGCUCCAUGAUGGGGAGAAGCCCCACACAUUCAGGGAGUGUGGGAAGAGCUUCAGGAGGAACUGCAACCUGAUCAGGCACCAGAGGACCCACACUGGGGAAUGGCCCUACACGUGUGGGGAGUGUGGGAAGAGCUUCAGCAAGAGCUCCACCCUGAUCACGCACCAGAGGACCCACACUGGGGAGAGGCCCUACGAGUGUGAUAAAUGCAGGAAGAGGUUUGUGACCAGCUCCCAUCUCGUCCGGCACUAUCAGAGUCACACAGAGGAGAGGCCCUUCCAAUGUCCCACCUGUGGGAAGGGAUUCCAACGCAAUUCCCACCUCAUCAUCCACCGGCGCAUCCACACUGGGGAGAAGCCCUACGAGUGUGAUAAAUGCAGGAAGAGGUUUAAGACCAGCUCCAGUCUCCUCCUGCACUAUCGGAUUCACACAGAGGAGAGGCCCUUCCGCUGCCCCGACUGUGGGAAAGGAUUCAAGCACAACUCCAUCCUUGUCAAGCACCGUCGCAUCCAUACUGGGGAGAGGCCCUACGAGUGUCCCCAGUGUGGGAAGAGCUUCUCCACGAGCUCUGCCUUGAACCAACACCAAUGAAGACACCAGUAAGGGAAGCCCUGCGAGUGCCCCGAGUGCCGGACGAGCUUUGUGCGCUGCUCCCGCUCCAUCCCCCACUGGAGGAGGCACUUUGGGCACAGCCCUGGUGACCCACAUUCCCUGUGAUCCAUUUUGGGAACACACCUGUCUGCUUCUCCUAUUGGUUUGGCCUUAAUUUUCUUCUGCUUCAUCUUCAGCCCUUAAAAAGUGCCAAAAUAGAGUUAAAUGAAUGAAAUUGAUCAAAGAUAUCUAAAGUCCCACCAUUUCACAGGUUUUUGAGGGGGAAUUUAGGAUUUGGGGACACAUUCUGUGUGGAGUGCCCCUGUUGCUAAGAGGCAGGAAUUUGAUCUCCCCCUUCUUGUGUUGCUAAGAACUCUUCCCCCUACCCAAACCUGAAGUCCACCCCUGUGAUAUCCUAUAAAAACCCCACGGCCCUGCCUUUGCCCUGUCUUUUGGGAGUCAGAAAUGGAUUCUGGAGCUUUCUGGAACCCAGACCCAUCUCAUUUAUUCCUGGCAGUGGCAGCUGCAGCCUCCCUGGACACCAUGAACUCUGGAGAAUGGAGGCAGCCAGUGAGGACAGGUCCUGGAUUGCAAGAUCAGUAUGUGUUCUGUUUGCCAUCUGUCAGAGGUGGGGCAGUUAUCUUCUGUUUAUUGGGCAGUUUAUCUCUUCCACAACCAAUCCUUUCUCCAACAGAUAUCUUCUGAUAAUGGAUGGGCCAUAAAUUAUUAAUUAUCUGCUGUUAAUGGGCCAUUGAGUGUCCCUGCAUGGCUGAUAGAAUGACAUUAUGCCAUUGGGUGAUGCUCCACCCAGAAGAGGAGCCAAGCAUUCCUACCUGGAUAGAAUCUGAGGUUUGGAACACCACAGCAACCUUUUCCCACUGGAUUGCCAGAGGAUCAGCCUUUUUCCACUGGAUUGCCAAAGGAUCAGCCUUCUUCCACUGGAUUCUCAGAGGAGCAGCUGUCUUCUCCAUUGGAUUCCCAGAGGAAGACCAGACCGAUCUGCAGCACCCCUGGACCUUCAGAGGAAAACUCCACCCUUCUCCAGGGUUCCUGCUCCAACAGAACCAUCCCUGGCACUGCAGGAGGGCUGCAGCCACCAUGGAAUGGGACUGUGCCACCACCCUGACCCACAGCGUGUCAGGUCCUGUUCUGACUCUGUCAGUGGCUUUUUUUUCUUUGUACUACUGCAUUUGUAUUUUUAAUUUUUCCUAAAAGAGGAACUGUUAUUCCUGCUCCCAUGUCUUUGCCUGAGAGCUCCUUAAUUUCAAAAUUAUAGCAAUUCAGAGGGAGGGGGUUUGCAUUUUCCAUUCCGGGGGAGGCUCCUGCUUUCCUUAGCAGAAACCUGGCUUUUCAA